GACUGGCUGUCUCCCAGCAGGGUGAGAGGAAGUUCUGUGCACUUCAAUUGCUGCAAUGACUUGAUCCUGCCAGAAACCCAGGGAGACAUCCCAAGCCAGCGCUGCCUGAUGCUGGCUGUGUGCUUUGCCGAGUCUCCUCACCCACUGCAAUCUCUACUACUUUAUCUCUAAAAUGUCAGCAAGAGUUUGCCCUUUAGCUGAGUGCGUGCUGCGUGCAAGGCUGAACCACGUGCGAGUUAAGACAGCAUCCAUCCCCAUAGGAGAAGAUACAGCACGGUGCGAUGUGCUGUUUAUGUCUGGAAGCCUGAGACACUCUGCUCCACAAAAGCAAGGAAUUCUGCACCUCCCAAUGCACUGGAGUAGAGUCAAGGCGAGGACUAUUCGACCUGGCUUUUUAACCCAGGACAAGCUCAUGAAAAAGAUGAAAGGGAAAUUUUCUGACAAGUCAAGCAUCAAGGACCUCCCCCACCCUUCUGCUGGGUUUUCGGGGACACCACCCUGAAAAGGAGAUUCACGGGCAGGAAGAUAUUUGAGCCAAACAGAGCAUCACCUAAGAACAAGUAAAAGAAGCAAGACUCAGAGAGGUGGGAACCACAGCACCAUUGUCAUGGGAACCACAAUGUGACAACUCCAGAACAAAGUAUUCUUUCCUCCAGCAUCAAAGCAUAAGUCUUAGGUAAGUAUUUAUUGGUGCAGAGUGCCUGACCUUUAAUCUAACUACCAAGACCAGGUCAAGAGUAAUUGUGACUAGCCACAAAUUAGAUGACCCCACCUACCAAUAAAAACAGUUAUUGGAGCCAGCAGUAUGGCUCAAUGGCUACAAACACUUGCCACCAAGCCUGGACCUGAGUUCAAUCCCUGGAAUCCACAUGGUGAGAAGAAAGAACCAACUCCCUUAAAUUGUCCUCUGACUUUUAGACAGACUCUAUGGUAUGCACAUACCUGCUCCCCAACACUAAUUAAAUAAAUGCAAAAGAAAUUAGAAACUUAAAAAAAAAAAAAAAAA
This 1006-nucleotide long non-coding RNA is filed under the name Mus musculus (house mouse). RNAcentral's name for it is "RIKEN cDNA A730020M07 gene, transcript variant 2 (A730020M07Rik)". The record is from RNAcentral. Lineage: Eukaryota; Metazoa; Chordata; Mammalia; Rodentia; Muridae.